Gordionus sp. m RMFG-2023 is the source of this 72-nucleotide non-coding RNA. Lineage: Eukaryota; Metazoa; Nematomorpha; Gordioida; Chordodea; Parachordodidae. The record is from the annotation of a RefSeq genome assembly.
UCCCAAGUGGUCUAGGGGCUAGGAUUUCGCGUUCUCACCGCGACGGCCCGGGUUCGAUUCCCGGCUUGGGAA